RNAcentral lists this ribosomal RNA (240 nucleotides) under uncultured prokaryote. RNAcentral's name for it is "partial 16S ribosomal RNA". It matches the Rfam family "Bacterial small subunit ribosomal RNA", at positions 26 to 260 of the family's 1533-position model. The record is from RNAcentral.
AGAUUGAACGCUUAGCGGUCAUGCCUAACACAUGCAAGUCGAACGGGUAACAGGCCCUUCGGGGUGCUGACGAGUGGCGGACGGGUAGAGUAAUGUCGUAGGAAUCUACCCACGAGUGGGGGAUAGCCCGGUAGAAAUCCGGAUUAAUUACCGCAUAUGCCCUACGGGUAAAGCGGGGGAGUCGUAAGACCUCGCGCUGGUGGAUGAGCCUAACGUCCGAUUAGUUAGUUGGUGGGUAAA